This 253-nucleotide ribosomal RNA is filed under the name uncultured bacterium. Its description in RNAcentral is "partial 16S ribosomal RNA". It matches the Rfam family "Bacterial small subunit ribosomal RNA", at positions 524 to 776 of the family's 1533-position model. The record is from RNAcentral.
UACGUAGGGGGCAAGCGUUGUCCGGAUUUAUUGGGCGUAAAGAGCGUGUAGGCGGCCACACAGGUCUGCUGUGAAAACUCGAGGCUCAACCUCGAGCUGUCGGUGGAAACCGUGUGGCUAGAGUCCGGAAGAGGAGAGUGGAAUUCCCGGUGUAGCGGUGAAAUGCGCAGAUAUCGGGAAGAACACCCGUGGCGAAGGCGGCUCUCUGGGACGGUACUGACGCUGAGACGCGACAGCGUGGGGAGCAAACAGG